ACCCAGCUGAACUGAUACACCUCUUUCAACCUUUGCUCAAGAUGCUUCCAUUGUGAUGCACUCCGCACUUUUCCAACAUGAUGUAAAAAUAAUCAAUACCAGAAUUAUUGGAUUGUACUAAGUAUCAGACAGGGCAUCAUGGGGAAUAUGCACCACAGAGUUAAUAUGGUUCUAAUUACAUAUUUGGUUAUGGCAAUGUCUGCACAUGAAUGUCUGACUUCUCAAGAAAAAAAAGCAACUUUUUCAUUAGAAAUUCAUCCACUGGAAAGUUCUUCAGAUGUCCAUCAGGAAAAUGCCACAGAAUCAACAGGAAUCAUCCACUCCGCCUGGCCUGCUGGACUCGGUGCUUUGACAGCAGUGCUUUCCAUCGGACUCCUUAUAGCACUGGCCGUGAGAUACCGUUUCUUCCGAUGGUGCCUGGCCGGAAACAGUCAGCACUUAUUACUGGAGGGAGAAACAGCCAGCCAGUUCAGUCAAGCCGGAGCCCUGGACGGAGAAAUGCCGGUGCGUGGCAUGAGGGGUAGAAUGAUACAUGGAGAAAGUUCAGAUAAUGAUGAGGAAGAUGGCUACAUAGAGGACAACUACAUUCAGGCAAGUGUGAGAGAGAGAGAAGAGGAAGAGGAAGAGGAAGAAGUGAACCAGCAGGAAGAUGCUGAAGACAGUGAUGAUGAACUAAUCAUUGCAGAAAUUAUAUAAACUCAUGUUAUGUCUAUGUACUGCUUUGUCCCCAUAAGUUUGGAAUUACUAUGACAUUAUUUAAAUGCUUUUAUUAACCCCGAAAUUCAUUAAAUUGCUGACAGUAUAGACAUUUAUAUUUUUACA
Molecule: long non-coding RNA, 822 nt
Organism: Megalobrama amblycephala (Wuchang bream)
Lineage: Eukaryota; Metazoa; Chordata; Actinopteri; Cypriniformes; Xenocyprididae
Exons: 3
Source: RefSeq, a predicted model, not a curated record